UAGUGUAAAUCGUCAUUGCUGCGGUUAAAAAGCUCGUAGUUGGAUCUGAGUUACAUGCAGUGAUUCGCCUUUGGCGUUAAUCGCUGUUGUAACUAUUUGCUGGUUUUCUAUUGAGGUUUCGGCUUCUUUAGUGGCUAGCGAGUUUACUUUGAAUAAAUUAGAGUGCUCAGAACAAGCGUUUGCUUGAAUGGUCGAUCAUGGAAUAAUAAAAGAGGACUUCGGUUCUAUUUAUUGGUUCAGGAACUGAAAUAAUGGUUAAGAGGGACAAUUCGGGGGCAUUCGUAUCCCUGCGCGAGAGGUGAAAUUCGUGGACCGCAGGGGGACGCCCUAAAGCGAAAGCAUUUGCCAAGAAUGUCUUCAUUAAUCAAGAACGAAAGUCAGAGGUUCGAAGGCGAUUAGAUACCGCCCUAGUUCUGACCGUAAACUAUGCCAUCUAGCGAUCCGAUGGGGUAUAGUUGCCUUGUCGAGGAGCUUCCCGGAAACGAAAGUCUUUCGGUUCCUGGGGUAGUAUGGUUGCAAAGCUGAAACUUAAAGAAAUUGACGGAAUGGCACCACCAGGAGUGGAGCCUGCGGCUUAAUUUGACUCAACACGGGAAAACUCACCCGGCCCGGACACCGUAAGGAUUGACAGAUUGAAAGCUCUUUCUCGAUUUGGUGGUUGGUGGUGCAUGGCCGUUCUUAGUUGGUGGAGCGAUUUGUCUGGUUUAUUCCGAUAACGAGCGAGACUCUAGCCUGCUAAAUAGUGGCUGGAUUUUUGAGUCCAGUCUACUUCUUAGAGGGAUAAGCGGUGUUUAGCCGCACGAGAUUGAGCGAUAACAGGUCUGUGAUGCCCUUAGAUGUCCGGGGCUGCACGCGCGCUACAAUGGAAGAAUCAGCUGGCCUAUCCAUUGCCGAAAGGCAUUGGUAAACCGUUGAAACUCUUCCGUGACCGGGAUAGGGAAUUGUAAUUAUUUCCC
Molecule: ribosomal RNA, 956 nt
Filed under: Haemonchus contortus (barber pole worm)
Lineage: Eukaryota; Metazoa; Nematoda; Chromadorea; Rhabditida; Trichostrongylidae
Description: SSU rRNA
Rfam family: Eukaryotic small subunit ribosomal RNA
Source: RNAcentral